RNAcentral lists this ribosomal RNA (253 nucleotides) under uncultured bacterium. Its description in RNAcentral is "partial 16S ribosomal RNA". It matches the Rfam family "Bacterial small subunit ribosomal RNA", at positions 524 to 776 of the family's 1533-position model. The record is from RNAcentral.
UACGGGGGGAGCAAGCGUUAUCCGGAUUUACUGGGUUUAAAGGGUGCGUAGGCGGAUUAGUAAGUCAGUGGUGAAAGCCCAUCGCUUAACGGUGGAACUGCCAUUGAUACUGCUAGUCUUGAGUAUGGUUGAGGUGGGCGGAAUGUGUCAUGUAGCGGUGAAAUGCUUAGAUAUGACCCAGAACACCAAUUGCGAAGGCAGCUCGCUAAGCCAUAACUGACGCUGAGGCACGAAAGCGUGGGGAGCAAACAGG